GCCUACGGCCGCACCACCCUGAAUGCUCCCGAUCUCGGAAGUGAUCCAAGGCCGGGCCUUGUUAGUACCUGAAUGGGAGACCGCCUGGGAAUACCAGGGCUCUUAGGCU
This 109-nucleotide ribosomal RNA is filed under the name Xenopus laevis (African clawed frog). The record is from RNAcentral. Lineage: Eukaryota; Metazoa; Chordata; Amphibia; Anura; Pipidae.